Molecule: ribosomal RNA, 253 nt
Filed under: uncultured bacterium
Lineage: Bacteria
Description: partial 16S ribosomal RNA
Rfam family: Bacterial small subunit ribosomal RNA
Source: RNAcentral
UACGGAGGGGGCUAGCGUUGUUCGGAAUUACUGGGCGUAAAGCGCACGUAGGCGGCUUUGUAAGUUAGAGGUGAAAGCCCGGAGCUCAACUCCGGAACUGCCUUUAAGACUGCAUCGCUAGAAUUGUGGAGAGGUGAGUGGAAUUCCGAGUGUAGAGGUGAAAUUCGUAGAUAUUCGCAAGAACACCAGUGGCGAAGGCGGCUCACUGGCCCGAUACUGACGCUGAGGUGCGAAAGCGUGGGGAGCAAACAGG